This 209-nucleotide long non-coding RNA is filed under the name Setaria italica (foxtail millet). Its description in RNAcentral is "long non-coding RNA (SITA_LNC003848)". Lineage: Eukaryota; Viridiplantae; Streptophyta; Magnoliopsida; Poales; Poaceae. The record is from RNAcentral.
UUACAUGAAGAAUCAAGACCCUCAGGUUGAUUAUUCAAUCAAUCAAAGGCUCGAGGGCUGAUAAACUACACCCAACAAUCAAUUUUUUCAAGUCGAAAGAGGAAGAUUCAAGAUUUUGACCCUUAGCCUGAUUCUACGACUCAACCUAAGGCUCGGGGACUACUCCAUAUGGAGUGCGACUUUCGCCGCCCUCCAUACAUGAAGACUAC